Molecule: ribosomal RNA, 471 nt
Filed under: uncultured bacterium
Lineage: Bacteria
Description: bacterial SSU rRNA
Rfam family: Bacterial small subunit ribosomal RNA
Source: RNAcentral
AGGGUUUGAUCCUGGCUCAGGAUGAACGCUGGCGGCGUGCUUAACACAUGCAAGUCGAACGAACCUUCGGGUUAGUGGCGGACGGGUGAGUAACGCGUGAGAAUCUGCCCUCAGGAGGGGGAUAACGGUUGGAAACGACCGCUAAUACCCCAUAUGCCUACUGGUGAAAUGAAUUUCGCCUGAGGAUGAGCUCGCGUCUGAUUAGCUAGUUGGUGAGGUAAUGGCUCACCAAGGCUUCGAUCAGUAGCUGGUCUGAGAGGAUGAUCAGCCACACUGGGACUGAGACACGGCCCAGACUCCUACGGGAGGCAGCAGUGGGGAAUUUUCCGCAAUGGGCGAAAGCCUGACGGAGCAACGCCGCGUGAGGGACGAAGGCCUCUGGGCUGUAAACCUCUUUUCUCAAGGAAGAAGAUAUGACGGUACUUGAGGAAUAAGCCACGGCUAAUUCCGUGCCAGCAGCCGCGGUAAUAC